ACUCAAAUGAAUAGACGGGGGCCCGCACAAGCAGUGGAGCGUGUGGUUUAAUUCGACGCAACGCGCAGAACCUUACCAGGGCUUGACAUCAUAGUGCAAAGGCUAGAAAUAGUCUCCCUGUAGCAAUACAGCGCUAUGACAGGUGUUGCAUGGUUGUCGUCAGCUCGUGUCGUGAGAUGUUGGGUUAAGUCCCGCAACGAGCGCAACCCCUAUCCAGUGUUGCCAACAGUUCGGCUGGGGACUCACUGGAGACUGCCGGAGACGAUCCGGAGGAAGGUGGGGAUGAGGUCAAAUCAUCAUGGCCCUUAUGCCCUGGGCUACACACGCGCUACAAUGGCCGGUACAACGGGCAGCUAAGGAGCGAUCCGGAGCGAAUCCCAAAAAGCUGGCCUCAGUUGGAAUCGCAGGCUGCAACUCGCCUGCGUGAACACGGAAUUGCUAGUAAUCGCGAAUCAGCUACGUCGCGGUGAAUACGUUCCCGGGCCUUGUACACACCGCCCGU
This 502-nucleotide ribosomal RNA is filed under the name uncultured bacterium. RNAcentral describes it as "bacterial SSU rRNA". It matches the Rfam family "Bacterial small subunit ribosomal RNA", at positions 899 to 1397 of the family's 1533-position model. The record is from RNAcentral.